RNAcentral lists this ribosomal RNA (440 nucleotides) under uncultured Alphaproteobacteria bacterium. RNAcentral's name for it is "bacterial SSU rRNA". It matches the Rfam family "Bacterial small subunit ribosomal RNA", at positions 9 to 495 of the family's 1533-position model. Lineage: Bacteria; Pseudomonadati; Pseudomonadota; Alphaproteobacteria. The record is from RNAcentral.
GAGUUUGAUCCUGGCUCAGAGCGAACGCUGGCGGCAGGCUUAACACAUGCAAGUCGAGCGGAUGUAGCAAUACAUCAGCGGCAGACGGGAGAGUAACACGUGGGAACGCGCCCUUCGGUUCGGAAUAACUCAGGGAAACUUGAGCUAAUACCGGAUACGCCCUAACGGGGAAAGAUUUAUUGCCGAAGGAACGGCCCGCGUCGGAUUAGCUAGUUGGUGAGGUAAUGGCUCACCAAGGCGACGAUCCGUAGCUGGUCUGAGAGGAUGACCAGCCUCACUGGGACUGAGACACGGCCCAGACUCCUACGGGAGGCAGCAGUGGGGAAUAUUGGACAAUGGGCGCAAGCCUGAUCCAGCCAUGCCGCGUGGGUGAUGAAGGCCCUAGGGUUGUAAAGCCCUUUCGGCGGGAAGAUAAUGACGGUACCGCAGAAGAAGCCCGG